This 78-nucleotide transfer RNA is filed under the name Klenkia terrae. Its description in RNAcentral is "tRNA-Ser". RNAcentral also lists the same sequence under 1 other name. Lineage: Bacteria; Bacillati; Actinomycetota; Actinomycetes; Geodermatophilales; Geodermatophilaceae. The record is from RNAcentral.
GGCCGGGGUGGCCGCGGUGGUCGGCGGCGUCCGGCUGCUGGCCGGGGCCGACCGCUGGUUCGUCGUCGGCGCCGGUGC